UUGCCUGUAGUUCAGUGGAUAGGGCAUCUAUUUCCUAAGUUGAAGGUCGUAGGUUCGACCCCUACCUGGCGUG
This 73-nucleotide transfer RNA is filed under the name Nicotiana attenuata. It matches the Rfam family "tRNA". From Rfam's summary of the family: Transfer RNA (tRNA) molecules are approximately 80 nucleotides in length. Their secondary structure includes four short double-helical elements and three loops (D, anti-codon, and T loops). The record is from Rfam by way of RNAcentral. Lineage: Eukaryota; Viridiplantae; Streptophyta; Magnoliopsida; Solanales; Solanaceae.